This 67-nucleotide transfer RNA is filed under the name Cavia porcellus (domestic guinea pig). It matches the Rfam family "tRNA". Rfam says of the family: Transfer RNA (tRNA) molecules are approximately 80 nucleotides in length. Their secondary structure includes four short double-helical elements and three loops (D, anti-codon, and T loops). The record is from Rfam by way of RNAcentral. Lineage: Eukaryota; Metazoa; Chordata; Mammalia; Rodentia; Caviidae.
GGGGAUUUAGCUCAGCGGCGUAAGCACCUGCCUUGCAAGCAGGUAGUCAUUGUGAGUUCAAUCCCUG